UUAAGCGACUAAGCGUACACGGUGGAUGCCCUGGCAGUCAGAGGCGAUGAAGGACGUGCUAAUCUGCGAAAAGCGUCGGUAAGGUGAUAUGAACCGUUAUAACCGGCGAUGUCCGAAUGGGGAAACCCAGUGCAAUUCGUUGCACUAUCGUUAACUGAAUACAUAGGUUAACGAGGCGAACCGGGGGAACUGAAACAUCUAAGUACCCCGAGGAAAAGAAAUCAACCGAGAUUCCCCCAGUAGCGGCGAGCGAACGGGGAGCAGCCCAGAGUCUGAAUCAGCUUGUGUGUUAGUGGAACGGUCUGGAAAGUCCGACGGUACAGGGUGAUAGUCCCGUACACCAAAAUGCACAGGCUGUGAACUCGAAGAGUAGGGCGGGACACGUGGUAUCCUGUCUGAAUAUGGGGGGACCAUCCUCCAAGGCUAAAUACUCCUGACUGACCGAUAGUGAACCAGUACCGUGAGGGAAAGGCGAAAAGAACCCCGGCGAGGGGAGUGAAAAAGAACCUGAAACCGUGUACGUACAAGCAGUGGGAGCACCUUCGGGUGUGACUGCGUACCUUUUGUAUAAUGGGUCAGCGACUUAUAUUCUGUAGCAAGGUUAACCGUAUAGGGGAGCCGCAGGGAAACCGAGUCUUAACUGGGCGUUAAGUUGCAGGGUAUAGACCCGAAACCCGGUGAUCUAGCCAUGGGCAGGUUGAAGGUUGGGUAACACUAACUGGAGGACCGAACCGACUAAUGUUGAAAAAUUAGCGGAUGACUUGUGGCUGGGGGUGAAAGGCCAAUCAAACCGGGAGAUAGCUGGUUCUCCCCGAAAGCUAUUUAGGUAGCGCCUCGUGAAUUCAUCUUCGGGGGUAGAGCACUGUUUCGGCUAGGGGGUCAUCCCGACUUACCAACCCGAUGCAAACUACGAAUACCGAAGAAUGUUAUCACGGGAGACACACGGCGGGUGCUAACGUCCGUCGUGAAGAGGGAAACAACCCAGACCGCCAGCUAAGGUCCCAAAGUCAUGGUUAAGUGGGAAACGAUGUGGGAAGGCACAGACAGCCAGGAUGUUGGCUUAGAAGCAGCCAUCAUUUAAAGAAAGCGUAAUAGCUCACUGGUCGAGUCGGCCUGCGCGGAAGAUGUAACGGGGCUAAACCAUGCACCGAAGCUGCGGCAGCGACACUAUGUGUUGUUGGGUAGGGGAGCGUUCUGUAAGCCUGCGAAGGUGUGCUGUGAGGCAUGCUGGAGGUAUCAGAAGUGCGAAUGCUGACAUAAGUAACGAUAAAGCGGGUGAAAAGCCCGCUCGCCGGAAGACCAAGGGUUCCUGUCCAACGUUAAUCGGGGCAGGGUGAGUCGACCCCUAAGGCGAGGCCGAAAGGCGUAGUCGAUGGGAAACAGGUUAAUAUUCCUGUACUUGGUGUUACUGCGAAGGGGGGACGGAGAAGGCUAUGUUAGCCGGGCGACGGUUGUCCCGGUUUAAGCAUGUAGGCUGGUUGUCCAGGCAAAUCCGGAUAAUCAAGGCUGAGGUGUGAUGACGAGGCACUACGGUGCUGAAGUAACAAAUGCCCUGCUUCCAGGAAAAGCCUCUAAGCAUCAGGUAACAUUAAAUCGUACCCCAAACCGACACAGGUGGUCAGGUAGAGAAUACCAAGGCGCUUGAGAGAACUCGGGUGAAGGAACUAGGCAAAAUGGUGCCGUAACUUCGGGAGAAGGCACGCUGGUGUGUAGGUGAAGUCCCUGCGGAUGGAGCUGAGACCAGUCGAAGAUACCAGCUGGCUGCAACUGUUUAUUAAAAACACAGCACUGUGCAAACACGAAAGUGGACGUAUACGGUGUGACGCCUGCCCGGUGCCGGAAGGUUAAUUGAUGGGGUUAUCCGUAAGGAGAAGCUCUUGAUCGAAGCCCCGGUAAACGGCGGCCGUAACUAUAACGGUCCUAAGGUAGCGAAAUUCCUUGUCGGGUAAGUUCCGACCUGCACGAAUGGCGUAAUGAUGGCCAGGCUGUCUCCACCCGAGACUCAGUGAAAUUGAACUCGCUGUGAAGAUGCAGUGUACCCGCGGCAAGACGGAAAGACCCCGUGAACCUUUACUAUAGCUUGACACUGAACAUUGAGCCUUGAUGUGUAGGAUAGGUGGGAGGCUUUGAAGCGUGGACGCCAGUCUGCGUGGAGCCAACCUUGAAAUACCACCCUUUAAUGUUUGAUGUUCUAACGUUGGCCCCUGACCGGGGUUGCGGACAGUGUCUGGUGGGUAGUUUGACUGGGGCGGUCUCCUCCCAAAGCGUAACGGAGGAGCACGAAGGUUAGCUAAUCCUGGUCGGACAUCAGGAGGUUAGUGCAAUGGCAUAAGCUAGCUUGACUGCGAGCGUGACGGCGCGAGCAGGUGCGAAAGCAGGUCAUAGUGAUCCGGUGGUUCUGAAUGGAAGGGCCAUCGCUCAACGGAUAAAAGGUACUCCGGGGAUAACAGGCUGAUACCGCCCAAGAGUUCAUAUCGACGGCGGUGUUUGGCACCUCGAUGUCGGCUCAUCACAUCCUGGGGCUGAAGUAGGUCCCAAGGGUAUGGCUGUUCGCCAUUUAAAGUGGUACGCGAGCUGGGUUUAGAACGUCGUGAGACAGUUCGGUCCCUAUCUGCCGUGGGCGCUGGAGAAUUGAGGGGGGCUGCUCCUAGUACGAGAGGACCGGAGUGGACGCAUCACUGGUGUUCGGGUUGUCAUGCCAAUGGCACUGCCCGGUAGCUAAAUGCGGAAGAGAUAAGUGCUGAAAGCAUCUAAGCACGAAACUUGCCCCGAGAUGAGUUCUCCCUGAGACUUUAAGUCUCCUGAAGGAACGUUNGACGUUGAUAGGCCGGGUGUGUAAGCGCAGCGAUGCGUUGAGCUAACCGGUACUAAUGAACCGUGAGGCUUAACCUU
RNAcentral lists this ribosomal RNA (2892 nucleotides) under Klebsiella pneumoniae. RNAcentral describes it as "bacterial LSU rRNA". It matches the Rfam family "Bacterial large subunit ribosomal RNA". The record is from RNAcentral. Lineage: Bacteria; Pseudomonadati; Pseudomonadota; Gammaproteobacteria; Enterobacterales; Enterobacteriaceae.